Molecule: ribosomal RNA, 253 nt
Filed under: uncultured bacterium
Lineage: Bacteria
Description: partial 16S ribosomal RNA
Rfam family: Bacterial small subunit ribosomal RNA
Source: RNAcentral
UACGUAGGGGGCUAGCGUUGUCCGGAAUUAUUGGGCGUAAAGAGCGUGUAGGCGGUCCGGUAAGUCAGCUGUGAAAGUCAAGGGCUCAACCCUUGAAUGCCGGUUGAUACUGUCGGGCUAGAGUCCGGAAGAGGCGAGUGGAAUUCCCGGUGUAGCGGUGAAAUGCGCAGAUAUCGGGAGGAACACCAAUGGCGAAGGCAGCUCGCUGGGACGGUACUGACGCUGAGACGCGAAAGCGUGGGGAGCAAAUAGG